AUAACGUUCUGAAAAGAACGCUAAUACCGCAUAACAUCAAUUUAUCGCAUGAUAGGUUGAUCAAAGGAGCAAUCCGCUGGAAGAUGGACUCGCGUCCGAUUAGCCAGUUGGCGGGGUAACGGCCCACCAAAGCGACGAUCGGUAGCCGGACUGAGAGGUUGAACGGCCACAUUGGGACUGGGACACGGCCCAGACUCCUACGGGAGGCAGCAGUGGGGGAUAUUGCACCAUGGGGGAAACCCUGAUGCAGCAACGCCGCGUGAGGGAAGAAGGUUUUCGGAUUGUAAACCUCUGUUCUUAGUGACGAUAAUGACGGUAGCUAAGGAGAAAGCUCCGGCUAACUACGUGCCAGCAGCCGCGGUAAUACGUAGGGAGCGAGCGUUGUCCGGAUUUACUGGGUGUAAAGGGUGCGUAGGCGGCGAGGCAAGUCAGGCGUGAAAUCUAUGGGCUUAACCCAUAAACUGCGCUUGAAACUGUCUUGCUUGAGUGAAGUAGAGGUAGGCGGAAUUCCCGGUGUAGCGGUGAAAUGCGUAGAGAUCGGGAGGAACACCAGUGGCGAAGGCGGCCUACUGGGCUUUAACUGACGCUGAAGCACGAAAGCAUGGGUAGCAAACAGGAUUAGAUACCCUGGUAGUCCAUGCCGUAAACGAUGAUUACUAGGUGUGGGGGGUCUGACCCCCUCCGUGCCG
This 689-nucleotide ribosomal RNA is filed under the name uncultured bacterium. Its description in RNAcentral is "bacterial SSU rRNA". It matches the Rfam family "Bacterial small subunit ribosomal RNA", at positions 143 to 848 of the family's 1533-position model. The record is from RNAcentral.